Molecule: long non-coding RNA, 473 nt
Filed under: Homo sapiens (human)
Lineage: Eukaryota; Metazoa; Chordata; Mammalia; Primates; Hominidae
Description: non-protein coding lnc-CNGB1-3:1
Source: RNAcentral
UGGUGCCACUCCUCAUGGGUGCUUGGGGCCAGGGCAGCCGUGGCCCCCGCCCAUCCGCCCUUCCCUGCUCACAGUGGGAGCCGGCUUGUCAGACGCCACAGCCCUCGGCACGGGCCCACUCAGCCCCCAGCUCUGGGACCAGUAGCCGCCCUGGAUCCAUCCGGAGGAAGCUGCAGCCCUCGGGUGAGCCUGGAGUGGCAGUGUGGGUGGGGAGUCUCCCCAGGGUAAUAGUCACCAGGCUGCCCUUACCUGGAUGGGCUUUCUCUUUUCUUUCCUUUUUAAAAAGUUCUUACACCUUCUCCAGAACCUGUUUUACAACCUCCCCUGCCCCCAGGCAGUAGUCAGGGCAGACAGUGCUGUGUCCGUUCUGCAGGUGGGAAAUGGAAGGUCUGUGGGAAGGGGGCAGUGUAAGGAGACCCCAGCCUCUCAGCCGGGGGUGCUGACUCUACCCUGGGACCCUGCUCUCUGAGCAU